RNAcentral lists this ribosomal RNA (444 nucleotides) under uncultured bacterium. Its description in RNAcentral is "partial 16S ribosomal RNA". It matches the Rfam family "Bacterial small subunit ribosomal RNA", at positions 338 to 795 of the family's 1533-position model. The record is from RNAcentral.
CCUACGGGUGGCAGCAGUGGGGAAUAUUGGGCAAUGGAGGAAACGCUGACCCAGCAAUGCCGCGUGAAUGAAGAAGGUCUUCGGAUUGUAAAGUUCUUUAGUCAGGGAAGAAGUCAAUGACGGUACCUGAAGAAUAAGCUACGGCUAACUACGGGCCAGCAGCCGCGGGAAUACGUAGGGAGCAAGCGUUGUUCGGAAUGACUGGGCGUAAAGGGUGCGUAGGCGGUUGUACAAGUUAGAAGUGAAAUACCCAGGGCUUAACUCGGGUGCUGCUUCUAAAACUGUAUGACUUGAGUGCAGUAGAGGUUAGUGGAAUGCCUGGUGUAGCGGUGGAAUGCGUAGAUAUUAGGAGGAACACCAGAGGCGAAGGCGGCUAACUGGACUGCAACUGACGCUGAGGCACGAAAGUGUGGGGAGCAAACAGGAUUAGAUACCCUGGUAGUC